Molecule: ribosomal RNA, 514 nt
Filed under: uncultured bacterium
Lineage: Bacteria
Description: bacterial SSU rRNA
Rfam family: Bacterial small subunit ribosomal RNA
Source: RNAcentral
AACGAACGCUGGCGGCAGGCCUAACACAUGCAAGUCGAACGUGAAGCCACCUUCGGGUGGUGGAAAGUGGCAGACGGGUGAGUAACACGUGGGAACGUACCCUUCGGUUCGGAAUAACCCAGGGAAACUUGGGCUAAUACCGGAUACGUCCGAAAGGAGAAAGAUUUAUCGCCGAAGGAUCGGCCCGCGUCGGAUUAGCUAGUUGGUGAGGUAACGGCUCACCAAGGCGACGAUCCGUAGUUGGUCUGAGAGGAUGAUCAGCCACACUGGGACUGAGACACGACCCAGACUCCUACGGGAGGCAGCAGUGGGGAAUAUUGGACAAUGGGCGCAAGCCUGAUCCAGCCAUGCCGCGUGAGUGAUGAAGGCCCUAGGGUUGUAAAGCUCUUUCGCCAGGGACGAUAAUGACGGUACCUGGAUAAGAAGCCCCGGCUAACUUCGUGCCAGCAGCCGCGGUAAUACGAAGGGGGCUAGCGUUGUUCGGAAUCACUGGGCGUAAAGCGCAUGUAGGCGG